RNAcentral lists this long non-coding RNA (657 nucleotides) under Homo sapiens (human). Its description in RNAcentral is "HSALNT0333846". The record is from RNAcentral. Lineage: Eukaryota; Metazoa; Chordata; Mammalia; Primates; Hominidae.
AGGCUGCCCCUGCCAACCCCGAGGGGGGAAGACUGUGCUCUGAGGUCCUCGGGGAUGGUUGUUGCGGGCCUCGGCCUCCCUAGAUUCCUUCCCAUCUCCCCAACAGCAAUCCUCCCAGGGCCAUGGGCCAGGAACCCCUGGUGGUUCUGUAUUCUGAGGUUCUGCAGACGCAGGGUGUAGUCUCCUGCGAGUCCAUCUUGAUUUGGAAGGCUGCGGGAGGAGGUGGCCGAGACCCCUUCCCUAGACCGCGAGGCAGGACGGAGGCAGCCGUUAGGAACGGCCCCACUCCACCAGCCGGCCCCGCGGGACGGUUACUCUGUUCCUGAGGUACCCCCCGAGGUUGGCUGUGAUAGGUGUCCCUGGCCACGUCAGUGGAGCACCCAGGCCUCAAGCAGCAUGCUGGGGAAGGGAAAACCCCCCAUUCUGGUGAUGGAGGUGGCCAUGACCAUGUCUGGUUUUCAAAGGCAGCUUUGUAAGAACAGAAACCAGCAGCUCCCCAACAUCUGGCCCUAUCUGCUGUGCAAACCACAGGGACCAGGACCUUUCCGGGGUGCCAGUGGCAUCCUCUGGAACCAGCUUCUCAGUGGAAUUUCAGAUGCUAUUCCUGGUCAAUUGCCUUUGCUAUGUGCUAUCCUUUAAUAAAUUCUGUUUCUCCUC